Molecule: long non-coding RNA, 202 nt
Filed under: Vigna radiata
Lineage: Eukaryota; Viridiplantae; Streptophyta; Magnoliopsida; Fabales; Fabaceae
Description: long non-coding RNA (VRAD_LNC003870)
Source: RNAcentral
GAAUUUUGAGAGUUAUUCUGGAUCUAAGAAGAAUUAGUAUCCUAAAAAACUCAUUGAAAAUGUGUGUGUGACCCUACCAUUGAAAACAAUAAAUAGGUUUAUUGAAUUGGUGGGUGAUGAGAGUGGAGGAGGAGCGUGUGCGUGUGACAUGGGAAUAUGUGAUGGAGCAGUAGCAGAAGCACUACAAAAGGGUGAAGAAGAG